GUUUUUAUAGUUUAAAAAAAACAAUGAUUUUGUAAAUCAAUAAAUAGAAAUUUAUUCUUUAAAACA
RNAcentral lists this transfer RNA (66 nucleotides) under Symplanella brevicephala. Its description in RNAcentral is "tRNA-Thr". The record is from RNAcentral. Lineage: Eukaryota; Metazoa; Arthropoda; Insecta; Hemiptera; Caliscelidae.